GAGCUGCACUAGAAGACUACACUGCAGCCUACACACGUAGGACCUUCGGGGAUAAACAUUGAGCACCUUUGGUCAGAAGUGUAUCCAGUGCUACGUCAAGCCUGACAUUGAAGGGUUUCUGCUUCCACUAAGCUUCCUGGACGGAUGAAUCCACGGUGCUGAAAGGACUGUAAAAUUCAACAUACUGUGCCUCUCCCACAAAGGACUGUCAAGCUCCCACGCGGACUCACAGGGAGCUUAUAUUCCCCUUUGAUCUGCCGUGGGUAGCAUUGCUCUUUCCCCCCCCUCACCGCUAUGAGUCACUGACCCACUGCCCCCCCCCCCAGAGUCCCGGGGGCAGAUGUCCGUCAUCAGAGGCCGUCCGUCGAAUCAAUGGCCUUUUUUUUUUUUAUCCCCGUCCCCGGUCGUGACGUCCGUUCUACUUGGGUGACCUCUAGAUCAAGGAAGCGGCCCUGUACAAAGCCGCCCGUCCUCCCUUUUGUUCUUCACAAUGGCGCGCGUUGUGUGGAAGCCCCCUGAAGGUUAGGGGGGGGGGGGGCGGGUCCGAGCGCGUGCGUACGUAUGUGCGUGCCCAUCAUGAAAGAGAGAGGAGAGCACAGGAAGACGCACGCAAGCACCCUUUGAGCUUCCUUUAUCCUAUGUGGUAACACCCCCCCCCCACACAACCUCCAACUUCCACCCACCCCUGUGUGCUCAACCUCCUCUUUCAACCCCUGGACACUCACCGCCCACCCACCUGCACGGAUCGGCGUAGAGGAAGGACGCGGGGUCACGCCUGCAGCCGAAAUUAAGCAUGAGGCCCGGAACUCUCAAAAGUCGCUGUACCCAUCAUCAAGGGCCGGUUAUCCAUGAAAACCCUCACUGUUCCAGAGAGGAGCGAGGAACGCGUUGAUCGGGCCACGUCACCGGAGCGUGGCCGCUUCCCAAAGGAUGAAAACGACGAAGAAAGAAACAGGGUUGAGCCAGAAGGGAGGGCUUCUGGAUCCCGCACAGAAGAAUGAGGAUUUAGGCAUUCACUGCCGGGCAGAGUGUCUCAUGUCCAUGACUAUUGCUUGAAUAUUACAUUCGGCUGGCCUGCGAAGGAUGGGCUCCCCCUCUAUAGCUGGGUUCCUCCUGUGAUUUCUUUCCUUGGGGAGUUGUUUCCACGCCACCCUUGUUUUUCUUCCCACUGGGGAGUUUCUUUUUUUUUUAAACCACAACUGCUCACUUUUUAGGGGUUCAGACCUGGGUUUUUUUUUUUUUGCCCAAUUCUCCUUUCUGUUUCCCCUGUAAAGCAUCUAUGGGACAGUGUUUCUGUAAAGAGUGCUACACAAAUAAAACUGAACUGAACUGAAUUGAAUUUCAUGGUGAAGGGCAAUAUCUUUUUAUUCCAUAUCUAUUGCAGUGCAAAUAAACUUGUACAUUUACUUUUUUAUUUUAUUUAUGUCUGACACGGUAUUGACGAAUGAGAUGAGAGCGUAGUUCUGACAGCGCCGCGGGGCUGACCGGACUGAGUUA
Anguilla rostrata (American eel) is the source of this 1497-nucleotide long non-coding RNA. RefSeq lists it as uncharacterized. The transcript has 3 exons. The record is from RefSeq and is a predicted model, not a curated record. NCBI's taxonomy places the organism in Eukaryota, Metazoa, Chordata, Actinopteri, Anguilliformes, Anguillidae.